Molecule: unclassified non-coding RNA, 3166 nt
Filed under: Penaeus japonicus
Lineage: Eukaryota; Metazoa; Arthropoda; Malacostraca; Decapoda; Penaeidae
Description: transmembrane protein 268-like, transcript variant X8
Source: RNAcentral
GCCGAGGUUUGCGUAAUGAGUGGCUGGGGUCCACGCGACACCACCCGGGCGGAGUCCUGCGCGAUUUUACGGCCGUGUCUUGAGUCACGGCUCAGACGCGACGGGGGAAAUAGACUGAACCCCGAAUUCUGCACGGAGUUGCAGACAUGGCGAAGGUGGAGCCGAGGUUACUCCUCAAGGGAUUCCUUUUUCUUUCUUUCUUUUGGUAGAGAGAGGCAGCGAGAUAUCGGGAUGAGUACCCCCGAGGGGAAGGAAGGCGCGGGCCCCAACGGCCAGCCGCCGCAAUCAUGGGUACAGUUCGAGGAGGAGGACGGGAACCAGCAGGCGCCGCCGUCAAGGGCUGACAGCACGCCCGCGGUCAUCGAUGCGCAGGCCGUCCAGGUGAGCCUGGAGAACCACAACACAGACAAAAAUGUUUCAAGAACAGUCUCAGAACCAGUCAAUGGAGUGCGUAAAACUUCAGUAACCUCACCAACAACACCCUCCAGUAUCACUUCUGAUACACGAGUCACAAUGUCACAACUCAGCCCUGCACAGCUUCAUAAUGUACCUCUACAUGACCCUUCAGCGCGGCCACCUGCCAAUGCUCAGCCUGUGAUUAGACAAGGAUUCUCAAAUGGGGACGUAAUUGUGACGUUAUUACCCCAGAACACUUCCCUGCCAUGGAUUACUCCAGCACAGUUCAGGCCAGAACUUGUGCCUGAAGAGCUGAUGGCUCAAGGCCUCACUCUUACAGUUGAGGACUACGUUCAUAUAAUGUCUCAGCUGGUCAAUGACUACCGUUUCACCCUGUAUAACGUGUGCUACAAGCGUAUCCUCAUGGCCUGGAUCAUCUUGGGUUUUGUUAUUCUCUUGGGUAUCCUCUUCUCAGGCCUGACUCAGUUAGAAUUAUUUGGUGCUGGAAUUGGUUGGCUGAUGGUUAAUGCAGCCGCGAUAUUUUUCUGUAUGUGGGUGAAGAUACAGCUGAACAAAUCAUUAGAACGUUGCAUUGCUGGAAUCAACCUUCAGCUUCUGAGACAUAAGAUUCUAUUAGGUCUAGAUGACCGAGGGAAACUCUCAUGCCACAAGGUCAAUCUUUGCUUCAUCUAUUUUGAUACGCAUGAUUGUGUGGCCAAGUUGCAAGAGAUUAUUGAGCAAGAAGAACGGGCUGGACGUACUGUGAAUAGUGAAGAGGCCAAGAUGUCCCCUCUUCACCAGCGCAUGGAUAUUGAUGACUCCGACAUUAUAAUCACAGGAGCAACCAACACACGCAUCUCAAGGCAACAAGAGAAAGCGGAACUUUUACUCACUCGGUACAGCCAGCGCUGGGCCAAGGACUUCCUUCGCAAGAGACUGGACUGGGCCUUUGAUGCAUCAGCAAGGUUGGAGGGUCUUUCUCCUCCAGUUUUGCCCCGUCACCUGGCCUCUGCCCGUUGCCUCUGCCAGUACAUUGAGGAGCAUCUGUCAGUCAAACUUCCACGCCAACAGCGGGCUUCCCGUGAACACUGUGCUUGCAUAACACAGUUCUGCCAAGAUGCCGAGCUAUAGAUAAAUAUAUUGGGCUCUGUUUCAAAGGAAGGGAAUUUAUUUUGAUAAAAUAUUACUUUUUUUGUAGAGUAAAAAAUGUAAAGGAAAAGUGGUAAAGAGAAUGAAUAACAAGUUUAGAAAAAAGAAAGCCCAAUUUUCCAGGUGUAUUAUGAAAAAUAUUUAUCCCUCUCUGGGUAUCAAUAUUACUGCAUGGUUUGAUAUUACAAUAUUGAUAUGCUGUAAUUUUCUAUCUAUUGCACUUCCAAAUAUUUGUAAGAAUCAAGAAUAUUACCUAAUUAUAUCAAGGGAGGCAUAUUUCAUAUAAAUAUAUUUUUAAAGUAUAUAUCAAAAAUAUUCUUAAUCUCAUAGUAAGAACUUAUCAUAGGGGCAUUGAACCAAACUGACUAUGGUAUGGUAGGUUUAUGUAAAUAUAUAUUUUUUCCAAUCUCAGCAGGUAGAUAUAUUGUUCUCAGAUGAUACAUUACAUUCCACUCAAAGCAUUCCUUCAAAAGUAUAUAAUGAACUGUAUUUGGUUACACAUAUACCACAGGCAUACACUCAUACUUGCAAACACUUUCAUGAUACAGGAUAUACAUAUUUAUUACAUUUGCAUGCAUAAUUUGACAGAUAUGAUUGCUAUUCAAGCUAAGGAAUCUAUGCAUGCUGAAACAAAUAUAUUCAGUCUUGAGCAUGAGUGCACACUGAAACUCUUUCUGUGAUUAUUUCUACCUAUUUGCUCUGUGAUCAGGAACUUCAUUCAUUCCAAUGUAAUAAAGAUCUGUUAGAAGUUCAUGUUAGUUUGUUCAAUUUUGCCACAUAAUUAUUUCUUUAAUUAGUAGCUAGUAAUUUCUUAUAGUUAUUUUUCUUCUACCUAGUAUAUUAUUGUGAUAUGAUAUCUUGUUGUACUGCAUUAUUUUGAUAUGUGAAUCAUUCUGCAACACAUCAUUAAUCAUACUGAUUUAUGGGAUAUCAUAAAGGUGUUGGUAAUUUUUGAAUUGACGUAAUGAGAUCAGUUUUGCUCAUGCAGACACCUAGUGAAACCUUAGGAAGAUUAGUCUUAUAUUGAUAUGCUCUUUCAUCAGCUUUGUUAUCUGUCUUAUCUUGACUAAUAUUUCUUAACACUGGUCUGGCAUGGCAGUAGCGUGGUUUGGCUGAAGGUGCAAAUCCAAUAUGUAAAUGGUAUUGCAACAUUUAUUCUGUCUUUUAAGUACAAUUCAUAUAGCAAUUGUUCCCGUAUUUUUACAGGAAACAGUUACUGGAAUUGUACUUAUAAGACUUCAAGUAUAAGAUAUAGUAAAGGUUUUAAAGCCUGGAAAAUUUGUGGUAGAUAGGGCCAUCUUAAGUGCAUUGUAAAUACAUGAAUUACUAAAUAACAUUUGUAAUGAUGAUUACUUUGAAAGCCCAUAUAAAAAAAAAAAAAAAAAAAAUCAACCUUGGCCCAGAGCUGACCACACAGUGAAAUUUGGUAAAAGGAAAAGGACAGAGCACGUAUUCUACUAGCCCGAUAUAGUCAACGUUGGGUGAAAGGAGUGGCUCGAGGGUCUCUAUCAAUAACCACUGAUGCAAGUGACUCUACCAGUCCUCCUUCAUUACCCCCUCGCCACAGUUCCUCCAAACAGUGCCUGUGCCAGUACAUUGAAGAUCACCUCCACUACAAGCC